This is a long non-coding RNA of Populus euphratica (Euphrates poplar), 238 nucleotides long. RefSeq lists it as uncharacterized. The transcript has 3 exons. The record is from RefSeq and is a predicted model, not a curated record. Lineage: Eukaryota; Viridiplantae; Streptophyta; Magnoliopsida; Malpighiales; Salicaceae.
GUUAUCAGGCAUUUAAAUCUGUUUAACGCUUCUUGAGCAGCUUCGGAAAAGCUGGUGAAUGCUACUUUUGAAACAUUUAUACCAGGCUUCCAUUUUUGCUAAUUUGUUCAGAUUUAGAGAGAAUGUUUGAAGAUGAUUGUGGCAUGCGGGAGAAGGAGCCCUUUUCUCUUACCAGAGCUAAUUAUACAGAGAAGAAGCAGUAGAGCAGGGUGGGAGUAUGCCACCGCAAAGACCAGCG